UGAGCAAUCUGCCCUUCUCUUUGGAAUAAGCGUUGGAAACGACGUCUAAUGCCGAAUACGACCUCCUUUCGCAUGAUUGGAGGUGGAAAGCUCCGGCGGUGAAGGAUGAGCUCGCGGCCUAUCAGCUAGUUGGUGUGGGUAAUGGCCCACCAAGGCGACGACGGGUAGCCGGCCUGAGAGGGUGACCGGCCACACUGGGACUGAGACACGGCCCAGACUCCUACGGGAGGNAGCG
RNAcentral lists this ribosomal RNA (235 nucleotides) under uncultured bacterium. Its description in RNAcentral is "partial 16S ribosomal RNA". It matches the Rfam family "Bacterial small subunit ribosomal RNA", at positions 118 to 353 of the family's 1533-position model. The record is from RNAcentral.